This is a long non-coding RNA of Chiroxiphia lanceolata (lance-tailed manakin), 431 nucleotides long. RefSeq lists it as uncharacterized. NCBI's taxonomy places the organism in Eukaryota, Metazoa, Chordata, Aves, Passeriformes, Pipridae. The transcript is spliced from 3 exons. The record is from RefSeq and is a predicted model, not a curated record.
UCUGUCUCAAACUGUGAGGCAUUUCUCCAUAUGAGCAGCCUGUUCAGUGGAUGUGCUGAUGUUCGGUUGUGCUCUUGGAGUUGGGAAGCAAGCCCUGACGGGACCCCCGAUGAGCACGCUGGAGGGGGAACUGCAGGGGCAGCAUGUACUGUUGGGAUCUUCUCACUGCUGCCAGAGCCAAUGCUAGAUGGCUGCUACCAGGAUGUCUGGGGACCCUGAGGUGCAGAUUGGACUUGCCAGGAACUGUAAGUGCUGUUUCGGCCAAGCCUGCUCAGAGUGAUAUGCUGCCAGGCAAGCAUGUGAGCUAUUCAUGGCUACAAUAACAAGAUGGAUAAGCCCACUAUUAUUGUCUGUACAGAAAGUGAAGGGCAAGGAAUGUCUACUUGCAGAAGAAAAUGCAGGAAUGUUGUUGGAUUUUUUUCCCCCAAAUU